UCUCGCCGAGUGGGAUUGUAGUCAACGGAGUGGACUUCGCGGGUGUGCUCUUGGAGGGAUGGGGAAGGGAAGGGGAUGGAGGGAGAGCGGUGUCGAAGAGCUUAACGGAGCCGUCAGCGACAGCGGCGACUAAGAGAGAAUCGUGGGAUUCAGACCAGGCGAGAUCGUAGACACCGUCAGCUGUGUCGAAGGCGACGAGUUCAGAGAGGGGAAGGGAAGGGGAUGGAGGGAGAGCGAGGACAUGGACACGGCCGUUUCCGAGGAUGCCGAAGUUCUGGGCAGUGGCGACAGCGAGUCGCGAUUCGUAGAAGGGGCUGAAUUUAACGGAGUAGCCGUUGAAUGGCGUUUUGAAGAUUGGCAUUGCGUCGGAGGAUUUGGUGGGAAUGGGUGUAGUGAUGUAUCAUCCGGUUGCCGCCGCUGAGGACGCUUCUCCAGACU
RNAcentral lists this unclassified non-coding RNA (438 nucleotides) under Hevea brasiliensis (rubber tree). Lineage: Eukaryota; Viridiplantae; Streptophyta; Magnoliopsida; Malpighiales; Euphorbiaceae. The record is from RNAcentral.